CCGCGACGGGUGAGUAACGCGUAUGUAACUUGCCUAUCAGGGGGGGACGUACCGGCAAGUCGGACUAAUACCGCAUGAAGCAGGGAUCCCGCAUGGGAAUAUUUGCCAAAGAUUCAUCGCUGAUAGAUAGGCAUGCGUUCCAUUAGGCAGUUGGCGGGGUAACGGCCCACCAAACCGACGAUGGAUAGGGGUUCUGAGAGGAAGGUCCCCCACAUUGGUACUGAGACACGGACCAA
Molecule: ribosomal RNA, 236 nt
Filed under: uncultured bacterium
Lineage: Bacteria
Description: partial 16S ribosomal RNA
Rfam family: Bacterial small subunit ribosomal RNA
Source: RNAcentral